Long non-coding RNA from Helianthus annuus (common sunflower), 588 nucleotides. RefSeq lists it as uncharacterized. Lineage: Eukaryota; Viridiplantae; Streptophyta; Magnoliopsida; Asterales; Asteraceae. The transcript has 2 exons. The record is from RefSeq and is a predicted model, not a curated record.
CCUGUCACGGAUGGGGGUUAGUUUUUGGUGUUAAGUGGAUUUGAAAUUACUAAAAUGCCCUUGUUAUUAAAAACCUAAAUCCUUCUUUAUCUUCUUCUUCUAGAUCAGAACCACCAUCACCAACACCUCUGUCAUAACCACCACCACCUACCUCCCACCUUCGACUACUACCAUCAUGUAAAUCGCUGCUAAUCAAGGUCUACUCCUGAUCAAUGGCGUCCAGUGCAAAAACGCAGUCAAGUGUUAACAAAAAAGUGUGGUUCUACUCUUUACUGCUCACAAUUCAAUACGGUGCUCAACCUCUGAUCUCCAAACGCUGCAUCGGUAGUGGAUUUACUGGUUUGAUUAUGAAGUUAAGCUGUGGUUUAAUUAAGGUGAAUUGAUGUGGAAAUUAUCGUGAUAAUCGUAAUCGUGUAGACAAUUUACUACUUGUUUGUUGUUGUAGGUGUUUGUGUGAGAGGUUCGAGUGAUGAUGUACUUGUAAAACAAUGGGAGUUUACUAGUUAUAUAGCUUUUUAAAACUCAAUAACUAGAGAUAUUGAUUUGAUGGUGGAUUUUGCUAUUCGAUCCUUGAGAUUUUGUUGUUCA